RNAcentral lists this ribosomal RNA (253 nucleotides) under uncultured bacterium. Its description in RNAcentral is "partial 16S ribosomal RNA". It matches the Rfam family "Bacterial small subunit ribosomal RNA", at positions 524 to 776 of the family's 1533-position model. The record is from RNAcentral.
UACGGAGGGUGCAAGCGUUGUCCGGAUUUAUUGGGUUUAAAGGGUGCGUAGGCGGCUCUUUAAGUCAGCGGUGAAAGUCCAGAGCUCAACUCUGGGAUUGCCAUUGAUACUGAAGAGCUUGAGUAUAGUUGAGGUAGGCGGAAUUGACAGUGUAGCGGUGAAAUGCAUAGAUAUUGUCAAGAACACCGAUUGCGUAGGCAGCUUACUAAGCUAUAACUGACGCUGAGGCACGAAAGUGCGGGGAUCAAACAGG